This 746-nucleotide small RNA is filed under the name Pan troglodytes (chimpanzee). RNAcentral describes it as "processed transcript". Lineage: Eukaryota; Metazoa; Chordata; Mammalia; Primates; Hominidae. The record is from RNAcentral.
GCGGGGCUGCGAGCUAGGGCGGGAGAAGGAGCGCGGGGAGGACGUACUUUGUGAGAUGCGAGCCGGCCAACAGCUUGCAAGCAUGCUCCGCUGGACCCGAGCCUGGAGGCUCCCGCGUGAGGGACUCGGCCCCCACGGCCCUAGCUUCGCGAGGGUGCCUGUCGCACCCAGCAGCAGCAGCGGCGGCCGAGGGGGCGCCGAGCCGAGGCCGCUUCCGCUUUCCUACAGGCUUCUGGACGGGGAGGCAGCCCUCCCGGCCGUCGUCUUUUUGCACGGGCUCUUCGGCAGCAAAACUAACUUCAACUCCAUCGCCAAGAUCUUGGCCCAGCAGACAGGCCGUAGGGGAUGACCGGGAGCUCACCACCUCUUAUGGCAGCCCAUUCUUCUGUGCUCCUACUGUUGGAAAUUCCUGGAGUCUCCUUCCUGGCAUUCUCCGAGAUUGCCACCCAGCCAGGCCAGCCCUUCAGAGACGUGGUCACAACCCUGGGGCCUGCUCUUCUCUGGCAGAGUGGCCCCAGGUUCUUCAUCUGGGCCUCCUAGGUCUGGAAACUGGGCCCUUCCCCUCCACAGGGUGUAUCCCCAGGCUCUCCACACCUUUGACCUGCUGUCCCUACAAGCCUUUGGCUGUCUACCCCCAGAAUGGGGAUAUCAACGCAGCCCCGUCUCACCCCACUCCCUAGGUGCUGACGGUGGAUGCUCGUAACCACGGUGACAGCCCCCACAGCCCAGACAUGAGCUACGAGAUC